AUUGAACGCUGGCGGCAGGCUUAACACAUGCAAGUCGAGCGGAGAUGAGGUGCUUGCACCUUAUCUUAGCGGCGGACGGGUGAGUAAUGCUUAGGAAUCUGCCUAUUAGUGGGGGACAACAUUCCGAAAGGAAUGCUAAUACCGCAUACGUCCUACGGGAGAAAGCAGGGGAUCUUCGGACCUUGCGCUAAUAGAUGAGCCUAAGUCGGAUUAGCUAGUUGGUGGGGUAAAGGCCUACCAAGGCGACGAUCUGUAGCGGGUCUGAGAGGAUGAUCCGCCACACUGGGACUGAGACACGGCCCAGACUCCUACGGGAGGCAGCAGUGGGGAAUAUUGGACAAUGGGGGAAACCCUGAUCCAGCCAUGCCGCGUGUGUGAAGAAGGCGGUAUGGUUGUAAAGCACUUUAAGCGAGGAGGAGUCUACUGAGACUAAUACUCUUGGAUAGUGGACGUUACUCGCAGAAUAAGCACCGGCUAACUCUGUGCCAGCCGCCGCCGUAA
This 501-nucleotide ribosomal RNA is filed under the name uncultured bacterium. RNAcentral describes it as "partial 16S ribosomal RNA". It matches the Rfam family "Bacterial small subunit ribosomal RNA", at positions 30 to 523 of the family's 1533-position model. The record is from RNAcentral.